Thalassophryne amazonica is the source of this 471-nucleotide long non-coding RNA. RefSeq lists it as uncharacterized. The transcript has 4 exons. The record is from RefSeq and is a predicted model, not a curated record. NCBI's taxonomy places the organism in Eukaryota, Metazoa, Chordata, Actinopteri, Batrachoidiformes, Batrachoididae.
AGGAGUGGUGCCUUAUGGGUGGGCCCCUUCCUGGUUCGGCAUGAUAUUGAGCGGGCACGCUUAGCCGCUCCACUUCCACCACUUGGUUUCUUUUGCCUCACUCCCGGUGCAGCACGUCAUCGUGCAGCGAGUUGCCAGCCUCCUUCUGUGCGCUAUCUGGGUAUGCUCCUCGUUUUCUGCAGCUCAGCAGGCAGGAAAUCUGUGGUUGUCGUGUUGUGGGGGAGACGUAAUCCGUAGGUCGUUACGGUGGCAUCAGCAGCUGUGGUGCUCCUCCCUCCUUUCCUGUGAUUAAGCGGCUCCUUCAUUGUUGUGGGGCAACGGUGGUGGUGUAGGGGCCCAGGGUGUUGGAGUGUUGUGCUUCACCCACCACGCAGGAUUGGACCUUCAUGGUGUGAUUGUGGUGUGUGAGUCACGUGUGACUGGGAUGCUUAUUUCUUUCUUUAGGGACCAUCACUGCUGGUGUCUCCUUCU